This 465-nucleotide ribosomal RNA is filed under the name uncultured bacterium. RNAcentral describes it as "partial 16S ribosomal RNA". It matches the Rfam family "Bacterial small subunit ribosomal RNA", at positions 28 to 507 of the family's 1533-position model. The record is from RNAcentral.
GACGAACGCUGGCGGCGUGCUUAACACAUGCAAGUCGUACGGUAAGGCCCUUUCGGGGGUACACGAGUGGCGAACGGGUGAGUAACACGUGAGUAACCUGCCCACAACUUUGGGAUAACGCUAGGAAACUGGUGCUAAUACUGGAUAUGUGCUCCUGCUGCAUGGUGGGGGUUUGAAAGCUCCGGCGGUUGUGGAUGGACUCGCGGCCUAUCAGCUUGUUGGUGGGGUAGUGGCCUACCAAGGCGGCGACGGGUAGCCGGCCUGAGAGGGUGACCGGCCACAUUGGGACUGAGAUACGGCCCAGACUCCUACGGGAGGCAGCAGUGGGGAAUAUUGCACAAUGGGCGCAAGCCUGAUGCAGCAACGCCGCGUGCGGGAUGACGGCCUUCGGGUUGUAAACCGCUUUCAGCAGGGACGAAGCUUUUUGUGACGGUACCUGCAGAAGAAGCACCGGCUAACUACGUG